UGCCGGAUGGACGAUUGGCAAGUCGCCGUGACUCUGAAUCACGGAGAAGUUGGUUCGAGUCCAACUCCGGCAU
Molecule: transfer RNA, 73 nt
Filed under: Moorena sp. SIO4G3
Lineage: Bacteria; Bacillati; Cyanobacteriota; Cyanophyceae; Coleofasciculales; Coleofasciculaceae
Also listed under: 7 other names
Description: tRNA-Gln
Rfam family: tRNA
About the family: Transfer RNA (tRNA) molecules are approximately 80 nucleotides in length. Their secondary structure includes four short double-helical elements and three loops (D, anti-codon, and T loops).
Source: RNAcentral